AAAUAUUUUCUUUGUUCAUAAAAAUAUCCAAAAAUAUUUUCCGUAUUUCUUGAUGCCUUAUUUAAUUUUAUUUAAUUUUUAUUUUUGCAUUUAUUUAAUAUUAAUAUUUUAUUUUAAUUGUUUAUUCUAAGUGUCUAUUUUAGCAUACAUUAAAUUCUUGAUUUUAUUUUUAUAACUUAAAAUUAAUUUUAGCUUCUGAUUUUUGGGAUGAAGGUUGACCACUGCCCCAUGGUCAACCUGACUUUUU
This 247-nucleotide long non-coding RNA is filed under the name Lathyrus oleraceus (garden pea). RNAcentral describes it as "Pisum sativum (pea) long non-coding RNA (PSAT_LNC020579)". The record is from RNAcentral. Lineage: Eukaryota; Viridiplantae; Streptophyta; Magnoliopsida; Fabales; Fabaceae.